This 72-nucleotide transfer RNA is filed under the name Pseudomonadota bacterium. RNAcentral's name for it is "tRNA-Pro". It matches the Rfam family "tRNA". Rfam says of the family: Transfer RNA (tRNA) molecules are approximately 80 nucleotides in length. The record is from RNAcentral. RNAcentral also lists the same sequence under 2 other names. Lineage: Bacteria; Pseudomonadati; Pseudomonadota.
CGGGCCGUGGCGCAGUGGUAGCGCGCACCUUUGGGGUGGGUGAGGUCGUGGGUUCAAGUCCCACCGGCCCGA